GACCCGGUGGUGAAAGGCAUCAUACCUGCAAUCUAUAUGCCGUCUGAAACUAGCACUGUAAGCAGGAGGUCCCGGUUCGAAACCGGGCUGGGUCA
Non-coding RNA from Mycena latifolia, 95 nucleotides. Lineage: Eukaryota; Fungi; Basidiomycota; Agaricomycetes; Agaricales; Mycenaceae. The record is from the annotation of a GenBank genome assembly.